GCAAGUAUUUUUAUCCCAGGCCUCGCUCAGAAUAGCAACACCUAUUUACUUGGAGGGAGGAGACUGCAGGGCCAGUUUCAGUGCGGGUGACUGACUAUUCCGGACCGGGUGGACGAGCACACUUAGAAGCCUCCUCCGCAUCGCAGGGCCAGGCGCGCCGGGGCCCUGCACCCGGGGCCCGCUGGAACCUGCCGCUGACCCAGCCUCUGCUCCACCCGCAGGGCAGACGAGCAGUGCUGGGGACAGAACGGAGGGCCUCGGGCCUGCUGGGCAAGCGCUCUAGCCCCGAAGCCCCGCCCAGCCCCGCCUGGGUCCCUCACCUUUCUUUCCACCGCCAGCAUUUGGCUGUGGGUCCUUCACCGGUUUUGAGGAGCGCACACCGCGGCCCUGAAGAAGCAUCCGCAGUCAUGGCCCAGUACUACAGAACGAACCCAGUGGUGCUUUACCCUUGCGUUUCAUCCCCGACCUUCCCAGAUUCCAUUUUUGAGACAGGGUCUUGCUAAACUUCCCAAGAUGGCCUGAAAUUUGUGAUCCUCCUGCCUCAGCUUCAGAGUAGCUGGAAUUACAGGGCUGGGAUUGAACCCACGGCCUUGCUCAUGCUAAGCACAUGCUCCAUCCUUGAGCCACAACCCAGACCUACCUAACUUCUUCAAAGUGGGAAAUCACACUCAACAGAGAAAGCAACGUUAGCUUGUAUUCCUGGCAGGGUUUGGAAUACUUUAUUUCCUAAGCUAUAUGCCAGGAUGUUUCCUCAUUUGAUUUUUCCAGAAUGGUAAUGGAAAGAGAAAAAAAAAAAAAAACAGGAAAAAGUUGCCACCCGAAGUUAAAACAUUCCCUUCCAUAUGGAACAAUGCAGCUGCGAGCCAGCAGGGACGAACCUUGGGCAAAGGAUGAAGCAGGCCAGGGAGCAGCUACUCGCCAUGUGCUCUCAGGCAAGUCACCUACCCCAGGGGUCUCAGCGUCCUUAUCUAUACAAUGAGCAGUGUCUACUCCAUGGGGCUGGAUGUCUCACUCAUCAGCCAGUCCUUAAAAAACCUGGCACAAAGUAUCCUUCAAUGAACCUAGGCUGAAUGGAUGAAUGCAUUAAUGAUCUUAAAGAUGAAGUGAUAGUGAAGCCCUGAGCAAUUUAGCAAAACCCUGUCUCAAAGUAAAAAGUAAUGGUGCACGCCUAUCAUCCCAGCAGCUUGGGAGGCUGAGGCAGGAGG
This is a long non-coding RNA of Sciurus carolinensis (gray squirrel), 1205 nucleotides long. RefSeq lists it as uncharacterized. Lineage: Eukaryota; Metazoa; Chordata; Mammalia; Rodentia; Sciuridae. The transcript has 4 exons. The record is from RefSeq and is a predicted model, not a curated record.